GGGAGAGAUGAAUGAAUUUUGAAGGGGUUGUAGGUGGCCUUUCUUCAGGCAUGUGCGCGGCCCGCUUCAUCCAUCUCUCACCUGUGCAUCUUUGUAGGUUGGUCUUCAAUUGGCUUCUCCGGAGGUUGAUUUGGACCUUCCUAUGUUUUAUCACACUUAGCCUGUCAGUAUCAGAAUGUCAUUGCGUAUAACGCAUUUUAUAUACAACUUUCAGCAACGGAUCUCUUGGCUCUCGCAUCGAUGAAGAACGCAGCGAAAUGCGAUAAGUAAUGUGAAUUGCAGAAUUCAGUGAAUCAUCGAAUCUUUGAACGCACCUUGCGCUCCUUGGUAUUCCGAGGAGCAUGCCUGUUUGAGUGUCAUGGAAUUCUCAACUCGUCUUGCUUUUUAUUUGUGAGAUGGUGUUGGAUUUGGAGGUUUAUUGCUGUUGUCAUUUAUUUGAUGAUGGCUCCUCUCAAUUGCAUUAGCUGGAACCUUUGUGGAUCGGCUCUUCAGUGUGAUAAUUGUCUACGCUGUGGAGUUGUGAGACGGUUUGCGUCUUUCUGACGUGAGGUUCUGCUUCUAGUUGUCCUUUUACCGGGACAAUUUCUUUGACCUUCUGACCUCAAAUCAGGUAGGAUUACCCGCUGAACUUAAGCAUAUCAAUAAAGCGGAGGAAAUGGGGGGCGGGG
Molecule: ribosomal RNA, 668 nt
Filed under: Resinoporia cincta
Lineage: Eukaryota; Fungi; Basidiomycota; Agaricomycetes; Polyporales; Adustoporiaceae
Description: eukaryotic LSU rRNA
Rfam family: 5.8S ribosomal RNA (bases 206-359)
Source: RNAcentral